RNAcentral lists this long non-coding RNA (1217 nucleotides) under Homo sapiens (human). Its description in RNAcentral is "HSALNT0065912". The record is from RNAcentral. Lineage: Eukaryota; Metazoa; Chordata; Mammalia; Primates; Hominidae.
GCCAUAUGGGAGGUCAGCUGGAGAUGAGGGAGACUGAAAAUUGGAGAUAACCCCAGAGAUGACGGGCAGGUUACCCUCUGUCCUCAGAUGGGAGGGGAGGUGGCUGGGGAAAGGAUUCCAACUCUGAGUUCUAUUGUGGGAAGGUGAGCAGAGUCAAGCUCUGUGGCUCAGUGGAACUUAUUCCUGCCCACAAGCUCAACAUCUCCACCUCUGCCCCCAGCAGUGGAGUUAUGACAGCAAAGGAGACAAGGUGAAUAGGGAUCACCCCAGAGGAUCAGUAUGGGAUGAGGCCAGCCGGUGAAUCACCCACGCUCCCAAGGAACCCACGCCACAGGAACACACACCUCCAGGUUUCUCCCAUCUCCGUAAGAUCUUGAGGACCUUCAACAGCACUUCAGCAAAAAACAUUUUCAGGUUUCCUCAGACUCACCGUGAUAUUCCUUUACCUCCAUCCAGAACUCAGAUAACGUGUCACUCUAGUCACCCUGAAGAUUUGCCUCUUGAAAACAUAAUCGCCGUGCAGUAAAGAGGAGACCAAAAUAGAACCACAUACAGCUGCCGAAAAGUGCUGAAGAAUAUGGCGCUAAGGAGAGAAAGACACCACUAGCCAAAGGGGCAGUUUCAGCAGAAGGCUUCAGAGACCCCCGGAAGCAGACAGAAAGAAGUCCACAUGCCUUGCUGGCUGAGGAGCAAAUCGGGUCAUGAAUUUCAUCUCAGCAAUAGCCAAUAAACACAGCAGCUGCUAUACCCAGCCCUGAGACAUCUAGCACAGGAGACUUUAUAAAGAACAAGCCGAUCUCCUCUGGCAAGCAAGCCACAAAUGGAGAAGGUCUUGGCAGGAUUUUUGUGUCCUUUAUUCAUAUGGUAUCAGCACCUAAAACAGUGCCUGGCAUUAAAGCACUAGGUAAAUAUGAGUGACUGAAGAAAUACAUGCGUGGGGAGAGAAUAUAAACCAGCAGCACCAGUUAGUAACUAUACAAAGGUAAGCAAGCCAUUCAGUCUCUAGGAGCCUCUAUUUCUUCAUCAGGAAAAUAGGGUAAUGACACCUACUUUGAAAGGGUCUUAUAAGAAUUAAGGCCGGGCACAGUGGCUCAUGCCUGUAAUCUCAGCACUUUGGGAAGCCAAACUAGGUGGAUCACUUGAGGUCAGGAGUUUGAGGCCAGCCUGGCUAACAUGGUGAAACCCUGUCUCUACCAAAAAUGUAAAAAAUAGCCGGG